GAGUAAUGUCUGGGAAACUGCCUGAUGGAGGGGGAUAACUACUGGAAACGGUAGCUAAUACCGCAUAACGUCGCAAGACCAAAGAGGGGGACCUUCGGGCCUCUUGCCAUCAGAUGUGCCCAGAUGGGAUUAGCUAGUAGGUGGGGUAAUGGCUCACCUAGGCGACGAUCCCUAGCUGGUCUGAGAGGAUGACCAGCCACACUGGAACUGAGACACGGUCCAGACUCCUACGGGAGGCAGCAGUGGGGAAUAUUGCACAAUGGGCGCAAGCCUGAUGCAGCCAUGCCGCGUGUGUGAAGAAGGCCUUCGGGUUGUAAAGCACUUUCAGCGAGGAGGAAGGUGGUGAACUUAAUACGUUCAUCAAUUGACGUUACUCGCAGAAGAAGCACCGGCUAACUCCGUGCCAGCAGCCGCGGUAAUACGGAGGGUGCAAGCGUUAAUCGGAAUUACUGGGCGUAAAGCGCACGCAGGCGGUUUGUUAAGUCAGAUGU
Molecule: ribosomal RNA, 491 nt
Filed under: Serratia marcescens
Lineage: Bacteria; Pseudomonadati; Pseudomonadota; Gammaproteobacteria; Enterobacterales; Yersiniaceae
Description: bacterial SSU rRNA
Rfam family: Bacterial small subunit ribosomal RNA
Source: RNAcentral